This 252-nucleotide ribosomal RNA is filed under the name uncultured bacterium. Its description in RNAcentral is "partial 16S ribosomal RNA". It matches the Rfam family "Bacterial small subunit ribosomal RNA", at positions 524 to 776 of the family's 1533-position model. The record is from RNAcentral.
UACGAAGGAUGCAGCGUUGCUCGGAAUCAUUGGGCGUAAAGGGCAAGUAGGUGGUCUUGUUUGUCUGUGGUGAAAGCCUUGGGCUUAACCCAAGAAGUGCCUCAGAAACGGCAAGACUAGAGUACUGGAGAGGGUCGCAGAAUUCCCGGUGUAGCGGUGAAAUGCGUAGAGAUCGGGAGGAACACCCAGGGGGAAACCAGCCGACUGGGCAAGUGCUGACGCUGAGGUGCGAGAGCGUGGGGAGCGAACCGG